This is a long non-coding RNA of Vigna radiata var. radiata (mung bean), 956 nucleotides long. RefSeq lists it as uncharacterized. The transcript has 2 exons. NCBI's taxonomy places the organism in Eukaryota, Viridiplantae, Streptophyta, Magnoliopsida, Fabales, Fabaceae. The record is from RefSeq and is a predicted model, not a curated record.
AAUUAGACCACAAACACAUGAUUGUGUUAUGAGCUGGAGGGAGAUUCCAUCUGUGGAAAUUGAGCUGUAAUUCACACUCUUCCUUCUGUUUCCCUCUCAUUGCAUUCCCAACAACACUAUAAAUCCAAACCCUGCAACUUGCAUCUUUCACAUUUCUUCUUCUUCUUCUUCUUCUUCUUCUUCUUCUUUUCUAUUCACCUAUUACACAUCAUUCUCUUAAUGUGGACAUGGAAUUCAGCACCAUCUUUUGUAUAUUUCUUUCUUUUCCCUUCAUGCUUCUCUUCAAGUAAUUCCUCACUUCCAUCACUUCCAAACACUAGGAAUAGUUACUCCCUCUUGGUUGCAUUGGUUGUUCUUACAUUCGUGAAACCUUUCAAAUGUGUUCCCUUUCUUUUUCAUCAUCAUCACAUUUGAAACCUCUUGGAGGGGUUUUAGAAAAAUGGUACUCAACUGAAACUUUGAUUGAGAAUACAUUUGAAAGGUUUCUCCUAUGUAAGGUCCACCUAUGGAAUCAGGAAGGAGAAACUGCUCCUGGUGUUUGCAGGGGAAAGACUGGAGCAGUUACUUGAUUAGAAUAAUAAAGAGAAAAGGAGCAAGCAAGCAAAACGUGGCGCUUAGUUCCAUUUCAAUAUUUCAUGUAAGUGGCUUGAAAUAGGUGAAUAGGGAAGAACAUGAAGCAAAAUUGAUGAUCAGUGAAGAAAAGCCAGCACAAGGUUCCAUCCACUUCUACUUUAUGUCGACGUGUUCAAAAAGAAGCAUAACAGCACCUUGAUCUGAUUCAUGCCAUGCUUGUCAUAUCCAUCGGAUGGAUAUAUAUAUAUAUAUAUAUAUAUAUAUAUAUAGUUAACAAGUACUUUUGUAUAAUGAGCAGAAGAAAAAUUGAUGGCAGAGAGAACAAUUCCAUCAAUUAUGUACUAUUUUUGAAGUGUUUACAAAAGAUGAAGGUAAUUUCAUAA